RNAcentral lists this ribosomal RNA (497 nucleotides) under uncultured bacterium. Its description in RNAcentral is "partial 16S ribosomal RNA". It matches the Rfam family "Bacterial small subunit ribosomal RNA", at positions 28 to 507 of the family's 1533-position model. The record is from RNAcentral.
GAUGAACGCUGGCGGCGUGCCUAAUACAUGCGAGUCGAGCGAACAGACGAGGAGCUUGCUCCUCUGACGUUAGCGGCGGACGGGUGAGUAACACGUGGAUAACCUACCUAUAAGACUGGGAUAACUACGGGAAACCGGAGCUAAUACCGGAUAAUAUAUUGAACCGCAUGGUUCAAUAGUGAAAGACGGUUUUGCUGUCACUUAUAGAUGGAUCCGCGCCGCAUUAGCUAGUUGGUAAGGUAACGGCUUACCAAGGCAACGAUGCGUAGCCGACCUGAGAGGGUGAUCGGCCACACUGGAACUGAGACACGGUCCAGACUCCUACGGGAGGCAGCAGUAGGGAAUCUUCCGCAAUGGGCGAAAGCCUGACGGAGCAACGCCGCGUGAGUGAUGAAGGUCUUCGGAUCGUAAAACUCUGUUAUUAGGGAAGAACAAAUGUGUAAGUAACUAUGCACGUCUUGACGGUACCUAAUCAGAAAGCCACGGCUAACUACGUG